GACGAACGCUGGCGGCGUGCUUAACACAUGCAAGUCGAACGGAAAGGCCCUGCUUUUGUGGGGUGCUCGAGUGGCGAACGGGUGAGUAACACGUGAGUAACCUGCCCUUGACUUUGGGAUAACUUCAGGAAACUGGGGCUAAUACCGGAUAGGAGCUCCUGCUGCAUGGUGGGGGUGGGAAAGUUUCGGCGGUUGGGGAUGGACUCGCGUCUUAUCAGCUUGUUGGUGGGGUAGUGGCUUACCAAGGCUUUGACGGGUAGCCGGCCUGAGAGGGUGACCGGCCACACUGGGACUGAGAUACGGCCCAGACUCCUACGGGAGGCAGCGGUGGGGAAUAUUGCACAAUGGGCGGAAGCCUGAUGCAGCAACGCCGCGUGCGGGAUGACGGCCUUCGGGUUGUAAACCGCUUUCGCCUGUGACGAAGCGUGAGUGACGGUAAUGGGUAAAGAAGCACCGGCUAACUACGUG
RNAcentral lists this ribosomal RNA (468 nucleotides) under uncultured bacterium. Its description in RNAcentral is "partial 16S ribosomal RNA". It matches the Rfam family "Bacterial small subunit ribosomal RNA", at positions 28 to 507 of the family's 1533-position model. The record is from RNAcentral.